RNAcentral lists this non-coding RNA (30 nucleotides) under Rattus norvegicus (Norway rat). The record is from RNAcentral. Lineage: Eukaryota; Metazoa; Chordata; Mammalia; Rodentia; Muridae.
UCUAGAUUGACCCCCUUUGAUUUUAGUAGG